AGAACGAACGCUGGCGGCAGGCUUAACACAUGCAAGUCGAACGCUCCGCAAGGAGAGUGGCAGACGGGUGAGUAACACGUGGGAACAUACCCUUUGGUUCGGAACAACUCAGGGAAACUUGAGCUAAUACCGGAUAAGCCCUACGGGGAAAGAUUUAUCGCCGAAGGAUUGGCCCGCGUCUGAUUAGCUAGUUGGUGAGGUAAUGGCUCACCAAGGCGACGAUCAGUAGCUGGUCUGAGAGGAUGAUCAGCCACAUUGGGACUGAGACACGGCCCAAACUCCUACGGGAGGCAGCAGUGGGGAAUAUUGGACAAUGGGCGCAAGCCUGAUCCAGCCAUGCCGCGUGAGUGAUGAAGGCCUUAGGGUUGUAAAGCUCUUUUACCCGGGAAGAUAAUGACUGUACCGGGAGAAUAAGCCCCGGCUAACUUCGCGCCAGCAGCCGC
Molecule: ribosomal RNA, 443 nt
Filed under: uncultured bacterium
Lineage: Bacteria
Description: SSU rRNA
Rfam family: Bacterial small subunit ribosomal RNA
Source: RNAcentral